This 1156-nucleotide long non-coding RNA is filed under the name Phasianus colchicus (ring-necked pheasant). Its description in RNAcentral is "lncRNA (ENSPCLG00000007405.1)". Lineage: Eukaryota; Metazoa; Chordata; Aves; Galliformes; Phasianidae. The record is from RNAcentral.
AUUUAAAGCCCAGCCCAGGGCUUCCUGUGCUUAGGUUAUCUCAGGCUGGGGCAUUGCUUCAGACCACACAGGAACAUGCCGAAAUAAUUUUUACUGGUUCCGCAAUAUAACGUGCAGCACAUGGGGAUAGGAGCCGUGCUGUGCUGACACGCUGCCUCAGCACGCCGGCAUGCUGCAGGGCUGCCAGCACACGGCUCUGCAGCAAGGCAGGCAUUGGGAUGCAGGGGUGAUGUGCAUUGGGAUGCAGGAGGAUGCGCAUUGGGAUUCAGUGAGGAUGUGCACUGGGAUGCAGGAGGACACACACUGAGGAUGGGAUGCAGUGUGACUGGGACUGGAGGAGCUGAGGACGGAGAAUCUCAGACUGGGGCUGGCUGCUAUGAUGAUGCUGGGACAAGGGACAGAUCUGUCACUGAGAGCACAGGAGAAAGCAUGGUGGAGUGGUUGGAUGUAGGGGAUCUCCUGCCUGCACACUUCCAUGCCAGCACAGAUGGACCCUACACAAGGGUCCCCAGGCCCUCGUGGGAUGCUGUGGCGCCUGAUCAAGCCCAGAAUGGGACAUGUGACCCUUGCAGAGAUGUAGGAGGGACCAUGGGGAUGCUGGAGGCCAGGGCCUGGAGCCUGGGCUGGGGAUUUGGGCAGCAGCUGAAAUCCAGAUAAAGCGAGGCUGGUUCUUGCUAUAAAUCCCCACUCUGAGGCAGUGAGGGUUUCUUGGGGGUCCCUGAGGACUUCCUCCUCCACAGCCAGGUGGAUAUUGGCAGCGGGGCUGAGGACUGUCCUGACAUUGGCAGUAGUGAUGCAAACAAGUCCCACCACCUGAAACACCUGACACAGUGUCUGGGUUGGGUGUGCAAGGGCUCCUCCCAUGGGUCACAUCCCGCACCAUGGCUCAGACCACAGUCACUUGGCAGGGGCACAGCUGGCCACACAGGCAGCAGUGUGUGGUGGAGUUUGGGAUGGCUCCUGAAUCCCCUUCCACCCACAUUCAGUGCAGUGCAUUCACUGCUCUGCCCUGCUCCUGGCCAGCCCAGCCCUGCUGGCACAUGGGGACAACACCAUCCUGCAUCCCUUGUGGUCAGGGGAUGGAUGGAUACACCCUGAGCACACACAUGCUUCCUCCCCUGCACCUUUUCCCUCACUCUUGGCUCAGCAUCCCCUC